This 159-nucleotide ribosomal RNA is filed under the name Donnellsmithia reticulata. Its description in RNAcentral is "5.8S ribosomal RNA". It matches the Rfam family "5.8S ribosomal RNA". From Rfam's summary of the family: 5.8S ribosomal RNA (5.8S rRNA) is a component of the large subunit of the eukaryotic ribosome. Lineage: Eukaryota; Viridiplantae; Streptophyta; Magnoliopsida; Apiales; Apiaceae. The record is from RNAcentral.
GACUCUCGACAACGGAUAUCUCGGCUCUCGCAUCGAUGAAGAACGUAGCGAAAUGCGAUACUUGGUGUGAAUUGCAGAAUCCCGUGAACCAUCGAGUCUUUGAACGCAAGUUGCGCCCGAAGCCACUAGGCCGAGGGCACGCCUGCCUGGGCGUCACGC